Molecule: unclassified non-coding RNA, 208 nt
Filed under: Hevea brasiliensis (rubber tree)
Lineage: Eukaryota; Viridiplantae; Streptophyta; Magnoliopsida; Malpighiales; Euphorbiaceae
Source: RNAcentral
CUCAAAUUUUUUGGUCGCCAUAGAAAUGGCGGGACUAGAGGCUGCACUCUCCCUCCUUCUGCGCCAUCCUUCUUCUUCGUCUAAAUCCGUCUCAUCUCCCAAACUACAACGGCAGUUCAUAAAUCUCCACAGCUCCAAUUCUUUCCUUCUCCCUUCCAAAAAUCUUCGUGUGUUUCCUCUCACCCACAGCCGCCCAUCAACUCGAAAG